Molecule: ribosomal RNA, 425 nt
Filed under: uncultured bacterium
Lineage: Bacteria
Description: partial 16S ribosomal RNA
Rfam family: Bacterial small subunit ribosomal RNA
Source: RNAcentral
GUGGGGAAUAUUGGGCAAUGGGCGAAAGCCUGACCCAGCAACGCCGCGUGAAGGAAGAAGGUCUUCGGAUCGUAAACUUCUAUCCUUGGUGAAGAUAAUGACGGUAGCCGAGAAGGAAGCCCCGGCUAACUACGUGCCAGCAGCCGCGGUAAUACGUAGGGGGCAAGCGUUGUCCGGAAUGAUUGGGCGUAAAGGGCGCGUAGGCGGCCUGGUAAGUCUGGAGUGAAAGUCCUGCUUUUAAGGUGGGAAUUGCUUUGGAUACUGUCGGGCUUGAGUGCAGGAGAGGUAAGUGGAAUUCCCGGUGUAGCGGUGAAAUGCGUAGAGAUCGGGAGGAACACCAGUGGCGAAGGCGACUUACUGGACUGUAACUGACGUUGAGGCUCGAAAGCGUGGGGAGCAAACAGGAUUAGAUACCCCAGUAGUCC